GCCCACCCCCACCCCGCACAUGGCGCACCUGCCUAAGGUUGUCCAGGUGAAGGGAAAUUUGCUGACAUGAAGUGAAACAGCAGAGCUUGUGUUCCUCCACCCCCACUCGGUGCCCAUUAGUAUAAACCAUGAGCUACCAUGGUUAUAGUCGUUUUCUGGGCAGAGGGGGUGAGGGGGGGUAGAGGUGUCCACCUGUGUCCAGCUGAAAGGCUUCCCAGUUCUGGAGAACAAGGGGGACCGCCUGAACCUGGAGGAGAAGGAAGCCCCUAUUUUGGCAAUGGGCCCCCCCAGUCCCGGCCGCUUCCUGCCCACCCUACACCCCCACUCCAGGGGCUUGCAAAAGAGCAUGUGGCAGAUGUAUCUACAUUACAGCCUGUCCUGUGGGUAGGGGUUAUGUAGUGGCACUAAAGAUAGAACAAAACCCCAAAUACCGUCUGGAGAAAAAAUAUUUCAUGGCAUCAUAUUUUUUCGCUCAGAUAGAUGGUGACAAAAUUGAGUUAAAUAGCGAGACACUGUUUAUCACAGAGAAGGGCUGCUGGAGAGAAGCCCUUCACAUACCUGCUGUCAGAAGUGUCAUGUGGAUGGGAGUCCUGUGAGAGUGAAGAGGAGCAGGGUAGAGAGGCUCCUUGUUCCCAACUCGAUUCUAUCAAAUGAACUUUAUAACCUUUUAUUGAAAUUCAUUUCAAUGAACUUGGGAUGGGACCUGGAAUAGAUUGGAUUCGGAGAGGAUUUUUAAACAUUCCCAUGUGACUGUAACAAGCAGCCUAGAUUGGGUCAGGGAGCCAUAAAUCCACCCUGGGCCCCAGGCUGUGACCUGUCUGGUGCUGCCUGGAGCAGUGUGGGCUCCACAGGCUUAAGGGGAAGGGGAGGAAGGAGGAAGGGGCAGGACAGCAUGAGGAGGAGGAGGAGAGACCAACCAUGUCCACUAACAUCAGCUGUUUACUUCAGAAAGAAAUUGCUGCCUCCAACCUAGUAUGCUGUUUUGCGGAUCUUUGUUGCUGAGAUGCCGAAUCCAGCAGGAGAAAAGACAACCAGAAGGUUGAGAAUGUUCCACUGGCACCUCAAGAAGAUAGCUCCAAGUGUUUUACUUCAGGAAGGUGAACCAUUGUGCAAUGUUGUGGGCCUACUGCACUAAAGGGAGCUGGAGUUUUUGGAGAAUACCUGUUUGCUCUACACAUGGAGAUCCAGAAUGUUACAAAUUCUGCAAACAGAACUUCUUCCCAGAAUUGACUCCUUUUUUCUGAGGACCGUUGGCUUGUGCGCAUGAUCCCUACUAACCAGGAAACUUGUUCCAGCGGUGAAGGCCACCUGACAACAACAUCUUUCUGAACAACUGUAUCAUCCUCUUCAGCCAAGAGAUCUUAGCUAUUGGAAAAGACAGAAGAGACAAACUGUUCGUGAGCCUGGUUGGAAGCACCUUAUCAGCUCGUGGCUCGCAGCCAGCUCUCAGAGUGCCAUUUGGGAUUCCAGCUCAGCGGAUCGGAAACAAAAUUGGGACCAAACAAAGACAAGAGGAGGCAUCUUCUCACUGUGUCCCCUUCCCAACGCUUGACGCCCACCUGGACCAUCCGUGCGCACCAUCCAGUGGAAACGCCCGGGCCACUUCACACCGCCCUGCUCAGCGCCCAGGUGGGGUCUCCAGCAGAGAAAGUCACCCUGAAGAGCUGAUGCAAUGACACCUGAAACCCCCAAAAGGAGCAGCCAGAUUUGGCCUCAAGGAGAGACUUUGUUCUUGGCACAAUAAGGGGGUUAGCUCUGGGGCGCUGCUCACUCCCCCGGGUCCUUCUCCACUUCCACUCUACUGUGGGCAGCUCCUCAGUGUGCCCAUUGCUGUCUGCCAAGAAGGGUGUUUGUUAUUAUCCCGCGGCAAUAAGUUAAUGAGACAAAGCUUGGGAUCCGAGUCGCAGCAGAAGGGUAAGAAUUUUGCACUUUUGCA
Molecule: long non-coding RNA, 1936 nt
Organism: Talpa occidentalis (Iberian mole)
Lineage: Eukaryota; Metazoa; Chordata; Mammalia; Eulipotyphla; Talpidae
Exons: 5
Source: RefSeq, a predicted model, not a curated record